UUGUGAGGUUAAGCGACUAAGCGUACACGGUGGAUGCCCUGGCAGUCAGAGGCGAUGAAGGACGUGCUAAUCUGCGAUAAGCGUCGGUGAGGUGAUAUGAACCGUUAUAACCGGCGAUUUCCGAAUGGGGAAACCCAGUGUGUUUCGACACACUAUCAUUAACUGAAUCCAUAGGUUAAUGAGGCGAACCGGGGGAACUGAAACAUCUAAGUACCCCGAGGAAAAGAAAUCAACCGAGAUUCCCCCAGUAGCGGCGAGCGAACGGGGAGGAGCCCAGAGCCUGAAUCAGUGUGUGUGUUAGUGGAAGCGUCUGGAAAGGCGCGCGAUACAGGGUGACAGCCCCGUACACAAAAAUGCACAUAUUGUGAGCUCGAUGAGUAGGGCGGGACACGUGGUAUCCUGUCUGAAUAUGGGGGGACCAUCCUCCAAGGCUAAAUACUCCUGACUGACCGAUAGUGAACCAGUACCGUGAGGGAAAGGCGAAAAGAACCCCGGCGAGGGGAGUGAAAAAGAACCUGAAACCGUGUACGUACAAGCAGUGGGAGCCUCUUAAUGGGGUGACUGCGUACCUUUUGUAUAAUGGGUCAGCGACUUAUAUUCUGUAGCAAGGUUAACCGAAUAGGGGAGCCGAAGGGAAACCGAGUCUUAACUGGGCGUUAAGUUGCAGGGUAUAGACCCGAAACCCGGUGAUCUAGCCAUGGGCAGGUUGAAGGUUGGGUAACACUAACUGGAGGACCGAACCGACUAAUGUUGAAAAAUUAGCGGAUGACUUGUGGCUGGGGGUGAAAGGCCAAUCAAACCGGGAGAUAGCUGGUUCUCCCCGAAAGCUAUUUAGGUAGCGCCUCGUGAAUUCAUCUCCGGGGGUAGAGCACUGUUUCGGCAAGGGGGUCAUCCCGACUUACCAACCCGAUGCAAACUGCGAAUACCGGAGAAUGUUAUCACGGGAGACACACGGCGGGUGCUAACGUCCGUCGUGAAGAGGGAAACAACCCAGACCGCCAGCUAAGGUCCCAAAGUCAUGGUUAAGUGGGAAACGAUGUGGGAAGGCCCAGACAGCCAGGAUGUUGGCUUAGAAGCAGCCAUCAUUUAAAGAAAGCGUAAUAGCUCACUGGUCGAGUCGGCCUGCGCGGAAGAUGUAACGGGGCUAAACCAUGCACCGAAGCUGCGGCAGCGACGCUUAUGCGUUGUUGGGUAGGGGAGCGUUCUGUAAGCCUGUGAAGGUGUGCUGUGAGGCAUGCUGGAGGUAUCAGAAGUGCGAAUGCUGACAUAAGUAACGAUAAAGCGGGUGAAAAGCCCGCUCGCCGGAAGACCAAGGGUUCCU
RNAcentral lists this ribosomal RNA (1321 nucleotides) under Escherichia coli. RNAcentral describes it as "partial 23S ribosomal RNA". It matches the Rfam family "Bacterial large subunit ribosomal RNA", at positions 1 to 1356 of the family's 2925-position model. The record is from RNAcentral. Lineage: Bacteria; Pseudomonadati; Pseudomonadota; Gammaproteobacteria; Enterobacterales; Enterobacteriaceae.